GACGAACGCUGGCGGCGUGCCUAAUACAUGCAAGUAGAACGCUGAAGAGAGGAGCUUGCUCUUCUUGGAUGAGUUGCGAACGGGUGAGUAACGCGUAGGUAACCUGCCUUGUAGCGGGGGAUAACUAUUGGAAACGAUAGCUAAUACCGCAUAACAAUGGAUGACACAUGUCAUUUAUUUGAAAGGGGCAAUUGCUCCACUACAAGAUGGACCUGCGUUGUAUUAGCUGGUAGGUGAGGUAAUGGCUCACCUAGGCGACGAUACAUAGCCGACCUGAGAGGGUGAUCGGCCACACUGGGACUGAGACACGGCCCAGACUCCUACGGGAGGCAGCAGUAGGGAAUCUUCGGCAAUGGGGGCAACCCUGACCGAGCAACGCCGCGUGAGGGAAGAAGGGUUUCGGAUCGUAAAGCUCUGUUGUAAGUCAAGAACGGGUGUGAGAGUGGAAAGUUCACACUGUGACGGUAGCUUACCAGAAAGGGACGGCUAACUACGUG
This 497-nucleotide ribosomal RNA is filed under the name uncultured bacterium. Its description in RNAcentral is "partial 16S ribosomal RNA". It matches the Rfam family "Bacterial small subunit ribosomal RNA", at positions 28 to 507 of the family's 1533-position model. The record is from RNAcentral.